Molecule: ribosomal RNA, 109 nt
Organism: Cottoperca gobio
Lineage: Eukaryota; Metazoa; Chordata; Actinopteri; Perciformes; Bovichtidae
Source: Ensembl
GAUUACGGCCAUACCACACUGAAAAUGCCCGAUCUCGGAAGCUAAGCAGAGUUGGGCUGGGUCAGUACUUGGAUGGGUGACAGCCUGGGAAUACCCGGAGCUGUAAGUA